RNAcentral lists this ribosomal RNA (863 nucleotides) under uncultured archaeon. RNAcentral describes it as "bacterial SSU rRNA". It matches the Rfam family "Archaeal small subunit ribosomal RNA", at positions 1 to 840 of the family's 1478-position model. The record is from RNAcentral.
UUCCGGUUGAUCCUGCCGGACCCCACUGCUAUCGGGAUGGGACUAAGACAUGCUAGUCGUGUGUCUCCAAGCCAUGGUGGAGACGCGGCGCACAGCUCAGUAACACGUGGCUAACCUGCCCUUAGGACAGGGACAACCCCGGGAAACUGGGGCUAAUCCCUGAUAGGUGAGGGUUCCUGGAAUGGGUCCUCGCCGAAAGGGCGCCUAGACCAUGCUUUUAGGUGCUGCCCAAGGAUGGAGCCGCGGCCGAUCAGGUUGUUGGUGAGGUAACGGCUCACCAAGCCUUUAACCGGUACGGGCCGUGAGAGCGGGAGCCCGGAGAUGGGUACUGAGACAAGGACCCAGGCCCUACGGGGCGCAGCAGUCGCGAAAACUCCGCAAUACGCGAAAGCGUGACGGGGCUAUCCCGAGUGCCGUCCGCUGAGGAUGGCUUUUCCCUAGUGUAUAAAGCUGGGGGAAUAAGGAGAGGGCAAGCCUGGUGUCAGCCGCCGCGGUAAUACCAGCUCUCCGAGUGGUGGGGAUGCUUAUUGGGCCUAAAGCAUUCGUAGCCGGUUGGGCAAGUCCUCUGUUAAAUCCAACGAUUCAAUCGUUGGACUGCAGGGGAUACUGUCCGGCUAGGGGGCGGGAGAGGCCGACGGUAUUCUCGGGGUAGGGGCGAAAUCCUAUAAUCCCGGGAGGACCACCAGUGGCGAAGGCUGUCGGCUAGAACGCGCCCGACGGUGAGGGAUGAAAGCUGGGGGAGCGAACCGGAUUAGAUACCCGGGUAGUCCCAGCUGUAAACGAUGCAGGCUAGGUGUUGGCGCGGCUACGUGCCGCUCCAGUGCCGCAAGGAAGCCGUUAAGCCUGCCGCCUGGGAAGUACGG